CGGAGCCAGGCUGAGCCACGUGAUUUGUCGGAGACUGGGGUGCCGGGCCCCUAGCCACAGUCUGUCAGCUCGUGUCUGCAACGUUACUAGGGAAGCGCCAGUGUCGCAGCCGGGAGGGGAUCUUAGAAGAGAUCGUAGGGUGCCUCCUGAAGAGCUACCAUGUCUGAGAAUUCUACAUCUUCCCCAGUACAGAACAAGAACAGAUAUGAACCCAAGACUGCUAAUCUUCGAACGACAGAUAAGAAAUGUUCAUGGGCCUCCUACAUGACCAACUCCCCAACUCUUAUUGUCAUGAUUGGUUUGCCAGCCCGGGGUAAAACCUAUGUGUCUAAGAAGCUUACACGCUACCUCAACUGGAUUGGGGUGCCUACCAAAGUGUUCAAUCUUGGGGUUUAUCGACGUCAAGCCGUCAAGUCCUAUAAGUCCUACGACUUCUUUCGGCAUGACAACAAAGAGGCCAUGAAGAUCCGCAAACAUUGUGCCAUGGUGGCCCUGGAAGACGUUAAGACCUAUCUGACUGAGGAGAACGGGCAGAUUGCGGUAUUUGAUGCCACCAAUACUACCCGGGAGAGGAGAAAAAUGAUUUUGAACUUUGCCGAGGAGAAUUCCUUCAAGGUAUUCUUUGUGGAAUCUGUUUGUGAUGAUCCUGAUGUCAUCGCUGCCAAUAUCCUGGAGGUAAAGGUGUCAAGCCCUGACUACCCUGAAAGGGACAGGGAGAAUGUGAUGGAGGACUUCCUGAAGAGGAUUGAGUGCUACAAAGUCACCUACCAACCCCUUGACCCAGACAACUAUGACAAGGAUCUUUCUUUCAUCAAAGUGAUAAAUGUGGGCCAGCGUUUUUUAGUCAACAAAGUCCAGGACUACAUCCAGAGCAAGAUUGUCUACUACCUCAUGAAUAUUCAUGUCCAGCCUCGCACCAUUUACCUUUGCCGGCACGGAGAGAGCGAGUACAAUCUCUUAGGAAGGAUUGGGGGUGACUCUGGCCUCUCUGUGCGGGGAAAGCAGUUUUCCCAGGCUCUAAAGAAGUUUCUAGAGGAGCAGGAAAUAAAAGACCUUAAAGUUUGGACAAGCCAGUUGAAGAGGACUAUCCAGACUGCUGAGUCUCUUGGAGUGACCUAUGAGCAGUGGAAGAUUCUGAAUGAGAUUGAUGCUGGCGUGUGUGAGGAGAUGACAUACGAAGAGAUCGAGAAGCAGUACCCAGAGGAGUUUGCUCUUCGAGAUCAAGACAAGUAUCUGUAUCGCUAUCCUGGCGGGGAGUCAUACCAGGACCUGGUACAGCGGCUGGAGCCUGUCAUCAUGGAGCUGGAACGUCAGGGCAAUGUCCUUGUCAUCUCCCACCAGGCUGUCAUGCGAUGCCUCCUGGCCUACUUCUUGGAUAAGGGCGCAGAUGAGCUACCAUACUUGAGGUGUCCUCUCCAUAUCAUCCUCAAACUCACUCCUGUGGCCUAUGGGUGCAAAGUGGAAACGAUUACGCUUGGAGUGGAGGCUGUGAACACUCACCGUGAAAAACCGGCUAACAACCUCCCCAAGAACCAAACCCCUGUAAGGAUGAGAAGGAACAGCUUUACGCCUCUAUCCAGUUCGAAUACAAUAAGGCGUCCGAGAAAUUACAGUGUUGGGAGCCGGCCCCUCAAGCCCCUCAGCCCUCUCCGUGCCUUGGACAUGCAAGAAGGGGCCGACCAGCCGAAGACCCAAGUCAGCAUUCCGGUGGUGUAACCGUGUGUUUCCCUUUAGCCCUGGCCUCCUGCCCUUGUCACUAAUCUCCAAGGAGUCAUUUAACUUCCACCGCCACCCCUUCCCUCAACACCUCACCAUUAUUCUUAACCCAGAAUGUGAGGUCACACAUGUACAGGCCAACUCUAGUCGUUCUCCAGUUGGAAACAGCUCCUCAUCCAGGGGCAGGAUGGCAAGUUGGGUCUUUUAGGAUGGGGUGGUCUGGAGAAGGAGAAAAAGGACACAUUCUCCCUGGGGGCUAAGCAUGCCUCAUAACUUGGUUCUUUGUUCUCUGGUGUCUAACCUCACUCAUGUCCUAGUGUUGGUGAAGUGGGGAUGAUGGUGAGUGAAGGGAACCAGGAAAGCCCAGUUUUCCUUCACCUUGUCUCUUUAAUGUGAAUUUAACUCACAGUCCUCACUUAACUCGUUUUCAUCUCCCCUCUGGAUUGUCUAGUAUAAUGCAUGACAUUGUAGUGUCUGUCAAAGAGGGAAGGGGCAGUUGGUGUGGGAGAAGUCCAGGCCCCAGUGGUGUUUUCUAGUGGGUCUAAGUGGAUCUGGACUGGAGGAGUCUCUCCUUUCCCUUCUCCUUCCUCUCCAGCCAGGUCCUGAAAGGGCCAGCCCAGGUUACAGAACAUCCACAGAAUGCUCUGGAGCUUGCAAGUGGACAUAGGGUUCUUUGCCAAUCACAGCAACUUUCCUGCCACAGCCAGUGACCUCUGGGGCUUUUUAGAAGGAUGGAGUUAGAUUCUGGAGUCACCACUGAUGUCUGAAUCACUCAAAACAAAAGGCAGAGAAGAGCUCACUCAGUUCACCAAAGCUGCUUAUUAUUUUCCAGUAAUUUCCAGCAUACCCCUAAAGUUAUUAUUAUUAUUAUUUUAGCAGGAGAAAAUUUUUUUCCAAGUGUGGAAAAACUUGAUGAUGAACUUAAUCUCUCUUCUUGGGGCACUCUUUUGUUCAUAAGGAGAAAUUAAUUUGACAUUUUGAGAAUUUCAUGCAGUCUAGCUCUUUCCUGACUAUUCUAAUUUAUCUAUUCAUUUCUGUCAUCUCAUUUUCUUUGUAGGGUUUAAAAGUAAUUGUUUAAAGAAGGGACUCUUAGCCCCUUGAUAGCAUAUAAUGGUUUUCCUUCUAUCUCAAUUUUGUAUACAAAAUAGAUGAAUGUAUAUACGCACAUUUUUCUGAGAGACAAAUCUAGAGUUCUCUUGGGAUUUUUAAGAUAGGUGAUCCUCUGCCUAUCCGUUUACAUUUUAGAGUUAGCUGGUGGGAACAAGUUAACUAUUUCCCAAGGGUUUUUGUUUUGUAAUAGAAAACCUUCCAUCAUGGCUCUCACUCAGGAACCUUCCUUCGGAUCUCCUUUACAGCUUUGGAAACUUACACAGGCCUGGGUCCAUCUGAGUCAGGCUGAAUUCUGACUCAGAAACUGGAGUUGAAGUCUGGACACAUGUGUGUUUAAAUAGCUUCCCUGAUGAUUCUGAUUCAUACCCAGGGUGUUCCACCUUAUGAAGCUAAGUGGAAACAUACUAGAUAGUAGUUUCUUGGACAAAGGAUCAACCUUGGCAUUCUGAAUUCCUCUUAAUUCUAAAAGGACAGUUCUUUGGAGUUCAAUAUUGGAGCAGAUCACCGUAGUAAGUGAAGCAGGCCUCUCAGUCCGGCUGCUGUGCUUUAGAGACUUACUGUAGGUUCUAGUUUCACCUUUCACCCUUCACAUUGUGCAGUGAUGUGGAACAAACCUCUAAAUGACCUUGAAUAAAAGCUGGGUUUCCAAGCACUCUGGAGAGAGGUCCUGAGGUACAGUCUGUAAGAUGAGGAAGGUUGUCUCCACCUUGAGCCCUUCACUUUUACAUUCCAAGUAGAAUACCACAGCUGCUUUCCAAAGGCUGCUGGCCUAGCGUCUUCUCAAAAUUGUGUCUAAGACAUAAAAUUACCUGUUCUUCCUGUCAAGCUGUUGCAGAAGGUCUGCAGUAGUGUCUUUGUGGGGCUUGGAGCUGAAUGGGGGAAGAAAGAACAGAAAUAGAAAAAGAAAGGUCCUUGUCCUCAAGAAGGUUACUUUAAGAGACAGGGCAUGUAAUUUACAGCAAAUGAACAUUCACAAAAGAGCCACACACUGAGUCUGAAAGUGCUGAUGUUGCCGUGGAACAUCUGGAAGUGCUACAGAUUGCUUGUGACUGUUCCCUUUUCCAGUGGCUGUGAGACCAAAAGUGUUAGGGGAUAGAAAGACCCCAUCUCCCCAGUGUGAGAAGGAGAGCCUGGGAGGUAUGCAUGGCUCUUUUAUAGGGUUGCCUUUUCUAAUUUGGUUGGGAUGAUGGCAACUCUAGCCCAAAUGGUUAUUCGAUCUAUUCUCCUGCUGCAAGGUGAUAGUAAUUUAGAGAUAAUAAAUGAGAAGAGGGAGAACUUUGAUCCAAAGAUGUGGGAUUUAGACGGCACCUCCUCUUAGGCAGAGGAGCCUUCUCUGACUGACUAGCAUUGUGUUAGUCUGUUAUAAACACUGUCAUUAGAGACAGGUCACUGGAUGUUCGUUUUGGCACUCAUUCUGUUGAUAAUACUUUUAAUCUUCCCCUGUGUUAGUUUGCUAUUCCCAGAGGAGUAAUGGAGGUGACCUUAUCCUCACAUAGGACAGGGGAAGUUAGAAUUUGAAAACAGCACCAGUUUCAACAUCCUUUGAGUUUUGAUCCCUUCAGAGAUGUUCACAAAAGAAGAGAAUAUAGAAUUGAAUAGAGCUCUUCGGGAUUUUAGGGAAGUCCUACUUCCCAUCUUUUUUUUUUUUUUCUAUUCUUCUUCCUCUAGUUACUUGAAAUGUAUAUUGGUAGUAGAUACCUGUUACUCUGCUUAUGUCUAUAUCACAAGUUCUACAAAGAAAGGAUGGACUCCAGAGAACCCUUUGCUGAGGUUUUAAUUGUUGCCAUGGGGGAAAUAGGUAAGACUUUGAUCUAUUGGAAUAAAACAGGAAAUGAAAACCAUAUUUUAUUUUUGUUAGUUCCAAGCUGAAUGAGGAUGUCUGUAACAGAUUUUUGAAAGGAUUUUGUUGCAGAUUCAGAGAACCCACUUCUCUUCUGUUCCUACUUCCUAAUUUCCAAAUUGGAAUUUAGUUCUUAUUUAUUAUCAAUAGUGUCCUUUUUGUUUUGUUAAUGGGCUGGUUUUACAUCGAAUUUGAAAGUAGAAUAGAAAAAUCUUUUUCAAGUAAGAAAACCUUUUAAAAGUCUUUUUAAUCUUAAGAUUUUAAAUCUUUUAAAAAUCUUUUAUCUGCAUCGUGCUGGGGAAUUGCCCUGUGUCAUUGUAUCUGGGUUUUGAUUUUGUUUCCCAAGAAAUUGGAGUAGAGGAUAAGAUGUAUUUGUACUCCUGGAUGGAAUGGUUGAGUGUUUCUUGUGAAGAUCUGAUAGACCUCUUGUAAUCCACAUUUGAUCUUCAGAUGCACUGAUAUUUGAAGAAACACGAUAUAUACCUGUUUGCAAAUAAAUCCAUCUUUUGGGUUUUCUGGGGGCAGGAGAUCUGAGUUCUAGAGUUCUCAUUGAUGCUUGGGGUGGCCAGUGGACAAAGGGAAACACCACGUCCUGGGUGAUGAAAUCUCAUGCACAUUCCACUAUCCUAGCCAAGCCCAGAAGCCAUUGUAUCUGUUGUCAAGAGGUUUGAUAGACGUACCCAGCUUUUCUUAUAUGUACUUUGACUUUUUGUGUGUGUUUUAAAAUGUUUCAUUUUAAAAAUAUAUUGUCACAUUGUCAUGGUAGAUCCUUGCCUUUCCCUAAAGAUGACAUAGACAUCAGAAGUGUGUCCAGGAAUUUUGUUUAGACUCUUGGUGUCCCUAAGACUAUUUCUAAAAGGAUCUGUGCUGACUGACUGUGGGCUCUGAUAGGAUCUGCAGGCCAACAGUCUUCUCGGUUUUCUCAUUGUACUGUUUUUUAGUAUGGUAAGUUAUUGUAAUUGUCUAUCUAUGGCACAUGUCCUGCAAAGAAAGAAACUAAACACUGUACAUUUUCUUUAUGGGGAAAUUCUGUGUGCUAUAAUUUUUCAUAGACAUUUCUUAUGUAAUAGUGGUCAAAUUCUCAGUGUUUAUGAAGAUGAUAGUUGUAUGGUGUUUUGUGAACUCAGAUAAGGGAAUGCCUAGUAAGAAUCUGAAGUUGUGAUUUCUACUUGAAGUCAUCUUGUCCAGUCCCCUGCUUUAGAGUAAGACUUUUCUUUCACUAUCCAUUCCUGAAUCUUCUGUCCUCAGCUUAUCCUAUUAAGGAAUGUAGCAUUCUAAUGAAGAGUGUUAUUGUUUUUAAUCUGCCAUGCAUAUGGCUUUUAUUCCUAAUAUAAUAAGUGCAAAGGAAAUUUGCAUUCAGAAACUGAUUUUAAAUGAGCAAAGGUAUUCUUUCCCAUAAGUCUUUCACUGGGUAUCUGUGGCCAACAUUUACUUACUAUAUUUGUAUCUGAAUUGCUUGUAUACAUUUUUAUUGUUGUUGAAGUAACAAAAUCAACUCAUUGUAAUACAGUGAUGGUUUUCUAUGGCAAAAGCAAAGAACUAAAUGCCACCCUCUUUGGAGGGGACUAGGAGUGGGGCUGAGCCCCACAGGUUUGAAUGGAAAUGGGCUGGGCCUGGAAACCCAGGAACAGAGUUCUACCGUGGACUUCCCAGGCACAGCUUCUGUUGAACAUAGGAGCAUUAAUCUCUAGCACCAUUCUGAUUUAAUCUGGUGACAUGAUGACAUAAGUUUUUACUUAGAUCCACUAAAGGUGUAUAUAACUGUAUUGGAAAUGUGCUUUUGUGUGUGUGUGUGUGUGUGUGUGUGUGUGUGUGUGUGUGUGUAUAGAAUGGGUAAAUAAAAUUGUUGAGUAACUUGAA
Molecule: RNA transcript, 6526 nt
Organism: Ictidomys tridecemlineatus (thirteen-lined ground squirrel)
Lineage: Eukaryota; Metazoa; Chordata; Mammalia; Rodentia; Sciuridae
Gene: Pfkfb2
Gene name: 6-phosphofructo-2-kinase/fructose-2,6-biphosphatase 2
Source: RefSeq, a predicted model, not a curated record